Molecule: ribosomal RNA, 237 nt
Filed under: uncultured Actinomycetales bacterium
Lineage: Bacteria; Bacillati; Actinomycetota; Actinomycetes; Actinomycetales
Description: partial 16S ribosomal RNA
Rfam family: Bacterial small subunit ribosomal RNA
Source: RNAcentral
UGGCGAACGGGUGAGUAACACGUGAGUAACCUGCCCACAACUUUGGGAUAACGCUAGGAAACUGGUGCUAAUACUGGAUAUGUGCUCCUGCUGCAUGGUGGGGGUUGGAAAGCUCCGGCGGUUGUGGAUGGACUCGCGGCCUAUCAGCUUGUUGGUGGGGUAGUGGCCUACCAAGUCGGCGACGGGUAGCCGGCCUGAGAGGGUGACCGGCCACAUUGGGACUGAGAUACGGCCCAG